UCCGUAGGCGGGUAAUUAAGUCAGAGGUGAAAUCCCACAGCUUAACUGUGGAACUGCCUUAGAUACUGGUUAUCUUGAGUUUUAGUGAAGUAGAUAGAAUGUGUAGUGUAGCGGCGAAAUGCAUAGAUAUUACACAGAAUACCGAUUGCGAAGGCAGUCUACUAACUAACAACUGACGCUAAUGGACGAAAGCGUGGGGAGCGAACAGGAUUAGAUACCCUGGUAGUCC
This 229-nucleotide ribosomal RNA is filed under the name uncultured bacterium. Its description in RNAcentral is "partial 16S ribosomal RNA". It matches the Rfam family "Bacterial small subunit ribosomal RNA", at positions 568 to 796 of the family's 1533-position model. The record is from RNAcentral.